UAAAAGCCCAAUUGGUUGUAAGUUCCUAAACAGGCCGUGCUUCGGGCCACAGUGGAGGUCUUAACAUGGUUACCUAUUACAGUUUUGCUGAGAAAAAAGAGAUGAGAUAAAGAUGCUCCUGGGAGGGAAGUGACUCCCACUUAAGGUGAAGAAUAAUACACUGGAAAUGCCCUGCAAAACUACAGUCAAUGAUUAACAGAAGGAGAUGGCGUCCACCCGAGUCAAAGGUGUUAUUGACUUAAGUAAAACAAAGAAGAGCUUUUAACACGAAUGACAAUGAACCUUCAUAUUCAAAUGAGAUGAAAAGCCAGGACAUGUUUUAUCACGUGCAUCAGAGAUGGUUUAAUUAGAAAUAACUCUAAUAGUUUCAGCUGGGGAAAGGAUACUUGAUAUUACUUUCCCAUCUCUAAUAGCAUGAAAUUAAUUUUUAGAUACAGUGAUUAAGAGUAAGCUUCUACCUUUUAGGAAAAUAAUGGUCACAAUGCACUAAUCUUUUGCAAAUCAGGAAUUGGGGCAUUGCAGCAACAACCUGAUUAUCAAAGUGUAUUUACUAUUGCCUCUUAAUUACCUGACUAAAAAUAUGAAUCUGCUGUUCUUUCUGAGUGUCUUUGAACAUGCUUGUAAG
This 625-nucleotide long non-coding RNA is filed under the name Equus caballus (horse). Its description in RNAcentral is "lncRNA (ENSECAG00000045495.1)". Lineage: Eukaryota; Metazoa; Chordata; Mammalia; Perissodactyla; Equidae. The record is from RNAcentral.